This 498-nucleotide ribosomal RNA is filed under the name uncultured bacterium. RNAcentral describes it as "partial 16S ribosomal RNA". It matches the Rfam family "Bacterial small subunit ribosomal RNA", at positions 28 to 507 of the family's 1533-position model. The record is from RNAcentral.
GACGAACGCUGGCGGCGUGCCUAAUACAUGCAAGUCGAGCGGACGGAUGGGAGCUUGCUCCCAGACCGUCAGCGGCGGACGGGUGAGUAACACGUGGGCAACCUGCCUGUAAGACUGGGAUAACUCCGGGAAACCGGGGCUAAUACCGGAUAACUCUUUCCCUCACAUGAGGGAAAGCUGAAAGAUGGCAUCUCGCUAUCACUUACAGAUGGGCCCGCGGCGCAUUAGCUAGUUGGUGAGGCAACGGCUCACCAAGGCGACGAUGCGUAGCCGACCUGAGAGGGUGAUCGGCCACACUGGGACUGAGACACGGCCCAGACUCCUACGGGAGGCAGCAGUAGGGAAUCUUCCGCAAUGGACGAAAGUCUGACGGAGCAACGCCGCGUGAGUGAUGAAGGUUUUCGGAUCGUAAAACUCUGUUGUCAGGGAAGAACAAGUACCGGAGUAACUGCCGGUACCUUGACGGUACCUGACCAGAAAGCCACGGCUAACUACGUG